ACUCUUUGAGUUGCUCAAAAUCACAUGGAAUUGAACCAGUAAGAUUGUUCCCUCGAAGACGCAAGUACUGGAGGUGCUUAAAUUUCCCCAUUAAGGAUGGGAGUUUUCCUUGCAAUCUACAGUCAAUGAGUUUGAGUGAUGACAGAGAAGAAGACAGAUUCAUCAAGGAAUCGGGAACAAGUAGUGACAUGUCUACCGAACUCAGAUCGAGUUCUCUAAGCUUGGUUAGGUUUCGAACAAGCUUGUCAAAGGAAAUUGGUUCUAGACUUAGAUAGCCGUUUCCAGAGAGAUCAAGUGAAACCAACUCAGUGAGUUGCUCAAAAUCAUAUGGAAUUGGACUAGUAAGAUUGUUCCCUCCAAGAUCCAAGUACUGGAGGUGCUUAAAUUUCCCCAUUGAGGAUGGGAGUUUUCCUUGCAAUCCACAUUCGAGGACUUCAAGUGAUGACAGAGAAGAAGACAGAUUCAUCAAGGAAUCAGGAACAACUAGUGACAUGUUUACCCAACUCAGAUGGAGUUCUCUAAGCUUGGUUAGGUUUCGAACAAGCUUGUCAAAACAAAGUGGUUCUAGACUUAGAUCGUAGUUCCAAGAGAGAUCAAGUGAAACCAUUUUGGAGAGGUGAGAGAUUUCUGACGGAACUUGGCCUGCAAGAUCUGAACCACUUA
RNAcentral lists this long non-coding RNA (663 nucleotides) under Populus trichocarpa (black cottonwood). RNAcentral's name for it is "long non-coding RNA (PTRI_LNC002414)". The record is from RNAcentral. Lineage: Eukaryota; Viridiplantae; Streptophyta; Magnoliopsida; Malpighiales; Salicaceae.